This is a long non-coding RNA of Hipposideros armiger (great roundleaf bat), 2278 nucleotides long. RefSeq lists it as uncharacterized. NCBI's taxonomy places the organism in Eukaryota, Metazoa, Chordata, Mammalia, Chiroptera, Hipposideridae. The record is from RefSeq and is a predicted model, not a curated record. The transcript is spliced from 2 exons.
GGACAUGACUCAAAACUUUGUCUUUACUUGAUGAGAAAAGGCCGUGUGGCAAGUCAAGUUCUUUUAAAUGGGUGGUUUUUCUCCUCUUCCACCCACACAGCUUUGGUUCAUGAUGGAUGUAGGUUUAAAACAUAUUAUGCUGCCUUUUACUUCUGGCUUUUUAAUUCUUUCUAAUGACAACCUAGUACUUAGAUAAUUCAAAUAUCUUCCUGGCACUUAAAAACAUGGCAGCUAUGACUUUAUUUACAACAUGUGUGUCACGGGUGUAUUCUGACUACAUUAUCAAAGUUAGGAAUGCUGAAAAUUGACCUCCUAACAGCCCACCUAAUUGCUUGAACUUAACUCUGAAUGCCCUUGUCCACUUUUGUUUUCAUUUAGGAAAAAGGCCUGUGUCAUAUCAACACUUGUCUAGCAACAUGCUGCAAAAGAGAAACUAUGAGAAUUUUAUUGGGCAUACACAUUAUCGACCAAAUGACAAAAAAACUUGAUUUCCUAUUUUGGGGAAGAAAGGUCUUGAUGGAUGUGUGUACUCUCCAUGAAAUUGUUAGUUCAUCCUUUGAGAAAGCAAACCGUGAAAGCUACUGAAAUAAGCUGUGAUUGUACUGUGCAUACAAUAUACAAGGAACACACUACAGUUUUGUAAAGUUGUUCUGGUAACUUUUGUACCAAAUAGCAAUAAAAAACUAUAGUUGGAACAGUUGGGUUGUACACAAAUAGAGAUGGGAAAUCUCUAUUUUGUCCCCGAAUAAUAUUUUUUUUUAGAAUUGACCAAAUAAGAAUGGAGUUUUUUGCAUACUUGAGCGCUGCUGAAAAGAAAUCAUUUGGGUUGGGGGGUGGGGUGGGGAGAAAGUAUAUAAUGCUUGCACCUCAGGUAAAAAUCUGUAAAUAUAUAUAAGUUGUAAACCUGCUUGUUUAAUACUAUGUGUACUCUUUUUCUGUAAUAUAGCUCAUCAUUUUGAGCUAUUUCUGCUUUUUUGUGCUUUUCAUUUAAAAUAUGUUUUUAAAAAAAAUUUUCUCAAUGAUUUGUAUUAUGUGAAAUUGUCCACAGCCUCAUGUCUUAAAAUCGUCAAUGAAAGCAGUGACCCUCUGUACGUGCUGCAUAUAUUGAGGUCAGACAUUCGGAACAAGGUGCCCCUUUUGUUGGAAAUCUCAGCAUGUCAGCUGAGGAAGGGGCCACAUAGAGCCACCGUCCUUUCCUGAGGGGGUGGGGUGGUCAUAGGAUUUUUAAGUGCAUGUGUCUGCAGGGAAGCAUUUCCUCAGUAGCGCAGCCAAGUUUCCAGGAAACAUACCAAACUGUAUGUGGAGUUCCUUAAGUUAGUUUUCUAUCAAAUUAAUCAUUUUUGUAGGAAAAUUCAAUGUUUUGGGCGUUCGCCUAAAUUAGUAGGUAAAAAGCAUAACUCACCAUGAUACAUGUGAAUUAACAUAUGUUGGAAGCAGUUUUAAAGGAAAAUGAAAGUUUGGGGGUAAAUUUUAGUUUUGUAUUUGGAGUCCUGGUGUGUCUGCAUUUGAGUUAAGCUGGACACGUUCGAGUGAAUUCCAGAUGCAUUGAUUCUGAGGAGGGAGCUGCUGGCUGAGCCUCCUGGGACUCGGGGAAGAGGUACUGUUUCUAGACCUCAGCUGUCUUGUUUUUGGCUGUUUUGAAGCAUUUUCUCAGCACAUACGCAAUUUGGUUUUUAAAGAGAGGCGAGCCCCCCCCCAGUUGGCUUAGUGGGUGUUUUAAAGUUUUAUUUCCUCAAUUUGCUGUAAUGGCUGAGUGUCUUCAACAGUCCCUGGGUUUAGUAACCACAAAAUAUUUUAUUAAGAAAACUUCCAAAAGUAAAUUUGCACUGUUAAUUUUCCUUGUCCUGCCCUUCUCCAUUAGAGCAAGGGUUAAGUCCUAAAAGAAUCCUAUGAUUUUUGUGUUGUUUUGUUACAUUAUGCAACACGAAGCGUACUUGAUCAACACGUCUUAACUCCUGCGGAAGCGGGGGAUGGCCUAAUCUGAGGGCAGUCUGCUGGCAUUGCAAUGAAGUGCUUUGUAUCAGGAAAGUGUACACUAUUAACCGUUUUUCCUGUUCACAAGCUGAGCCAUAUGUACAUAACCUAGAUUUUUGUUUUCAUAGUUUUGCACUUUUAUAGCGUAUUUUUGAAGAUUAACACAUUUGCGAGAUGAUUGACUUGAUCGUUGCCUAAUGCAAUGAGUGUUACAGAAAGCUUGCUCCUGACUGUAAAUGUAAAUCUGAAAUGGGGAUAUGUGAUAAUAGACAACUGAGAUUUAAAACUGUAUUAAAAAAAAAAA